This 265-nucleotide long non-coding RNA is filed under the name Elaeis guineensis (African oil palm). RNAcentral describes it as "long non-coding RNA (EGUI_LNC008408)". The record is from RNAcentral. Lineage: Eukaryota; Viridiplantae; Streptophyta; Magnoliopsida; Arecales; Arecaceae.
UGCCGGGUUGGAGGAUGUGGUCCCGAUGACGUUGAAUGUCCAAAAGCUAAAGGAGUCUCCUAACCUAUCUUGAGAUCAUGAGGAUGGACACGCAUGGAGAGACGACUAUGCUAGUUGAUGGCAUAUAGCACGGAUGUGCAAAUAUCCUGGAUGGCAUGUGAGGAUGUGGAUAUUGACUCUGGAUGAGCAAGCUCAUAUAUAUCCUCACCAAGCUAUCACUUUGACAUAGUAGAUAGUCAACUGAUGAUCGAUACAAAUAAAAGUA